Molecule: long non-coding RNA, 577 nt
Filed under: Spirodela polyrhiza (greater duckweed)
Lineage: Eukaryota; Viridiplantae; Streptophyta; Magnoliopsida; Alismatales; Araceae
Description: long non-coding RNA (SPOL_LNC000460)
Source: RNAcentral
UGAGGAACGAAGAACUAGAGGGAGGGAAGAGAACGGCGACGGCGGCUGUAGGCAUCGAUAGACGCAACCAGCGGAGAUCGGAAUCGCGGGUGCCUGGAAGAAGCCUGACGCAAGAAGCGUCCUUCGUGUGCGAGGAGGGCGAGUAAAAAUGCGUACGGCCUCACGCCUUUCUUUCUUCGUCCCCGUCCUCCAGAACAGGGAAACGGAAAAUGCAAGCGUCGACUCCGAAUCUGAAUUGAAAAACAGAGGGAGCAGGAGUGUAGGAAGAUUGGUAAGCGGCAUCGCAGGUGGAAGACUCACAACGGCCGACCAGUUUUUCUUCCGAUCCCGGAGGAUUCGAUCUGGCUACAGCCGCUUUGGCGUUGCGAGACCUGGGAUACGAAUCGAAGACGAUCCAGUCCCAGAUCUCGGUACAAUGUAGCCGGUCGACGAAGAGCGGAUCGACCGAAAGGGGAACGGGCGGAGGAAGAGAGAUGGAGGAGAUGAGGAGGUUGAAGGAGAGCCGGACGAGAUCGACCUCAUCUGAGGAUUCGCAGAGGAACCACGCCGAAGACGAAACCCUAGAAACCCCGAUGAG